Molecule: ribosomal RNA, 468 nt
Filed under: uncultured bacterium
Lineage: Bacteria
Description: partial 16S ribosomal RNA
Rfam family: Bacterial small subunit ribosomal RNA
Source: RNAcentral
GACGAACACUGGCGGCGUGCUUAACACAUGCAAGUCGAACGGACAGGCCCUGCUUUUGUGGGGUGCUCGAGUGGCGAACGGGUGAGUAACACGUGAGUAACCUGCCAUUGACUUUGGGAUAACUUAAGGAAACUGGGGCUAAUACCGGGUAGGAGCUACUGCUGCAUGGUGGGGGUUGGAAAGUUUAGGCGGUUGGGGAUGGACUCGCGGCUUAUCAGAUUGUUGGUGGGGUAGUGGCUUACCAAGGCUUUGAAGGGUAGCGGGCCUGGGAGGGUGACCGGCCAAGUUGGGACUGGAAUACGACCCAGACCACAACCGUACGCAGCGGUGGGGAAGAUAACACAGUGGGCGGAGGCCAAGCGCAGCAAAGCCACGUGGGGUGAAUCAGGCAGCGCGUAGGAUUCUACAUUCCUUUGUGCCGAGACGUUAAUGACGGUAAUGGGUGAAGAAGCCCCGGCUAACUACGUG